This is a non-coding RNA of Corylus avellana, 433 nucleotides long. NCBI's taxonomy places the organism in Eukaryota, Viridiplantae, Streptophyta, Magnoliopsida, Fagales, Betulaceae. The record is from RefSeq and is a predicted model, not a curated record.
AGAAUCUUGCAGGAAUACAUUUAAAUAUUGACAUUCCCAAGUGGUUGCAUAUACUUCAUUUGGACCGGCUUAAUUCAUAUGCAGUGCAAUUGCUUGAGAAUAGAAGCAAAGCCUUUGAACCAACUUAUAUAUACACUAUGGAAAAGGGAUAUUUCUUGCUACCUGAAGGAGCAAAGUCUUGCCAUAAUAUUCGUACCGUUAACAUUAGCAUAUCAGCUCGGAAUUCCUUUUUUGGAAACAGCUUAUAUCUUCCAAACAUAACUUAACCAUUGUCGGGGUGGUUUGAAUUGAGCUUGGAAGUGACAAUUUUUCUGAAGAACCUAUUUUUUCAAUAAGUUUUUUUGUUAAGUCCGAGUUUUUAAUUCUUAUUUGGAUAUCUAUUUUGAAAUUUUAAUCUUUGUGGUACUUAUCAAAAAAGAAAGAUUUAAUUUAA